UACAGAGGGUGCGAGCGUUGUCCGGAAUCACUGGGCGUAAAGGGCGCGUAGGCGGCCUGAUAAGUAGGGGGUGAAAUCCUGUGGCUUAACUGCAGGGCUGCCUCCUAGACUGUUAUGCUCGAGCACGGUAGAGGCAGAUGGAAUUCCCGGUGUAGCGGUGGAAUGCGUAGAGAUCGGGAAGAACAUCGGUGGCGAAGGCGGUCUGCUGGGCCGCAGCUGACGCUGAGGCGCGACAGCGUGGGGAGCAAACAGG
RNAcentral lists this ribosomal RNA (253 nucleotides) under uncultured bacterium. RNAcentral describes it as "partial 16S ribosomal RNA". It matches the Rfam family "Bacterial small subunit ribosomal RNA", at positions 524 to 776 of the family's 1533-position model. The record is from RNAcentral.